CUCCACUAACAAAACUGAUUAAAUUCCUAAGAACAAUCCAUAGGAGAAAAUACAUAUUUCUCAGGCUAUUAUUUAAAGGUCUUCAUAAUCCACUCAGUGCAUACCUUUCCAUUCUUAUCUCCCACUACUCCCCUUUGUGGAAAGGAAACAAGACUGACAGUUUGUGGGGGAAGGGCCCAAGUGGGAGUGGCAGUUGGGUCUUGUGACUAGCACUUCCUUCCUGCCGGGUGGGACUUGCAUCCUGGUGUUGGAGGAGAGGGGAGCUUGUUCAGCCCAGUCUGGAGAGGCAUGCUCUUCUUGGUUCAGCCGAAGACACAGGCUUCUAAAGGAGAAUCAACACCACUUAAGACACAUUGCUGGGGACUGGGAGAACAUAAUCUGGAUCUCCUGGCAAGUUGUGGCCAUGUGGGUGGCAAUCAAGGUUCUGUCUGCACAUUCAUCAAGGGGACAGAAAUUCAUCAUCUGAAGAAAAAGAAGUUGAAUUUCCUUAUCCAUGUAUACACUCAGAAAACUUAAGUAACUCAAUUGCUGAUCCACCAGUUGGAGAAUCAGACUCAUUAUUAUUCUUUUGUUAAAUCGGCUUUGCCCUGAAUGUAAAAGUUAAUACUCCAAGAAAAGCUGUUGCCAAAAUGCAGUUCUUAAGCAUUUCUUCCCUUUUCCUUAGUCAUUAAUGAAAAAUGGCACUGAAACAAUGCUCUUUUGUUAUUUAUUCCUGGUAUCUUAGCAGGGAAAUUGCCUGAAACAUUGACAGAAAAAAAAGAACACUGAAAAGGUCAGAGACAUAUGGCAAUACCAUUCCUGGAUCAUUAACAGUAUUCUCUGAGAUUGUGAUGCCAUUGAAAGACAUGUAGUUUUGUGUAGCUUUCAUAACAACAUGUGGAGAUUAACAAAUUACCGCCAGUAAAUAUUGUGCCUGAGGACCCUUGGAGGUAAUAAUGCAAGGCAACCACAAUGAUAUAGAUGGGACAAGGAGAACUUUGUCAUAGAUUAUUCAUUGCUUUUUGACACCAAGAUGUAUUUAAUAAACAGGCUGUAGAUGUGUAACA
Molecule: long non-coding RNA, 1046 nt
Filed under: Monodelphis domestica (gray short-tailed opossum)
Lineage: Eukaryota; Metazoa; Chordata; Mammalia; Didelphimorphia; Didelphidae
Description: lncRNA (ENSMODG00000032370.2)
Source: RNAcentral